This 634-nucleotide ribosomal RNA is filed under the name Salmonella enterica. RNAcentral's name for it is "partial 23S ribosomal RNA". It matches the Rfam family "Bacterial large subunit ribosomal RNA", at positions 1 to 668 of the family's 2925-position model. The record is from RNAcentral. Lineage: Bacteria; Pseudomonadati; Pseudomonadota; Gammaproteobacteria; Enterobacterales; Enterobacteriaceae. RNAcentral also lists the same sequence under 1 other name.
GGGUUGUGAGGUUAAGCGACUAAGCGUACACGGUGGAUGCCCUGGCAGUCAGAGGCGAUGAAGGGCGUGCUAAUCUGCGAUAAGCGCCGGUAAGGUGAUAUGAACCGUUAUAACCGGCGAUACCCGAAUGGGGAAACCCAGUGUGACUCGUCACACUAUCAUUAACUGAAUCCAUAGGUUAAUGAGGCGAACCGGGGGAACUGAAACAUCUAAGUACCCCGAGGAAAAGAAAUCAACCGAGAUUCCCCCAGUAGCGGCGAGCGAACGGGGAGGAGCCCAGAGCCUGAAUCAGCAUGUGUGUUAGUGGAAGCGUCUGGAAAGGCGCGCGAUACAGGGUGACAGCCCCGUACACAAAAGCGCAUGUGCUGUGAGCUCGAUGAGUAGGGCGGGACACGUGAUAUCCUGUCUGAAUAUGGGGGGACCAUCCUCCAAGGCUAAAUACUCCUGACUGACCGAUAGUGAACCAGUACCGUGAGGGAAAGGCGAAAAGAACCCCGGCGAGGGGAGUGAAAAAGAACCUGAAACCGUGUACGUACAAGCAGUGGGAGCACCCUUUUGGGUGUGACUGCGUACCUUUUGUAUAAUGGGUCAGCGACUUAUAUUCUGUAGCAAGGUUAACCGAAUAGGGGAGCCG